Molecule: ribosomal RNA, 1056 nt
Filed under: Triticum aestivum (bread wheat)
Lineage: Eukaryota; Viridiplantae; Streptophyta; Magnoliopsida; Poales; Poaceae
Description: partial small subunit ribosomal RNA
Source: RNAcentral
GCCAAGGUCGCUAGAACGAAGUGGUGGAAGCUCAAGGGGGAGGUAGCUCAGGUGUUCAAGGAGAGGGUAUUUAAGGAGGGCCCUUGGGAGGAAGGAGGGGAUGCGGACAAUGUGUGGAUGAAGAUGGCGACUUGCAUUCGUAAGGUGGCCUCGGAGGAGUUUGGAGUGUCCAGGGGAAGGAGAAGCGAAGAUAAGGAUACCUGGUGGUGGAAUGAUGAUGUCCAGAAGGCGCUUAAAGAGAAGAAGGAUUGCUUCAGACGCCUAUACCUGGAUAGGAGUGCAGACAACAUAGAGAAGUACAAGAUGACGAAGAAGGCCGCAAAGCGAGCUGUUGGUGAAGCAAGGGGUCGGGCAUAUGAGGACCUCUACCAACGGUUAGGCACGAAGGAAGGUGAAAGGGACAUCUAUAAGAUGGCUAAGAUCCGGGAGAGGAAGACGAGGGAUAUUGGCCAAGUCAAAUGCAUCAAGGACGGAGCAGGCCAACUCUUGGUGAAGGACGAAGAGAUUAAGCAUAGAUGGCGGGAGUACUUCGACAAGCUGUUCAAUGGGGAGAAUGAGAGUUCUACCAUUGAACUGAAUGACUCCUUUGAUGAGACCAGCAUGCAUUUUGUGCGGCGCAUCCAGGAGUCUGAGGUGAAGGAGGCUUUAAAAAGGAUGAAAGGAGGCAAGGCGAUGGGCCCUGAUAGUAUCCCCAUUGAGGUGUGGAAAGGUCUCGGGGACAUAGCGAUAGUAUGGCUAACCAAGCUUUUCAACCUCAUUUUUCGGGCAAACAAGAUGCCAGAAGAAUGGAGAAGGAGUAUAUUAGUACCAAUCUUCAAGAACAAGGGGGAUGUUCAGAGUUGUACUAAUUACCAUGGAAUUAAGCUGAUGAGCCAUACAAUGAAGCUAUGGGAGAGAGUCAUUGAGCACCGCUUAAGAAGAAUGACAAGCGUGACCAAAAAUCCGUUUGGUUUCAUGCCUGGGAGGUCGACCAUGGAAGCCAUUUUCUUGGUACGACAACUUAUGGAGAGAUAUAGGGAGCAUAAGAAGGACUUGCAUAUGGUGUUCAUUGACUUG